This 1235-nucleotide ribosomal RNA is filed under the name metagenome. RNAcentral describes it as "bacterial SSU rRNA". It matches the Rfam family "Bacterial small subunit ribosomal RNA", at positions 114 to 1353 of the family's 1533-position model. The record is from RNAcentral.
CACGUGUGCAACCAACCCCGUACCGGGAGAUAACCCGCGGAAACGUGGACUAACACCCCAUAACACCUUUCCCCCGCAUGGGGGAGAGUUUAAAAUCACGAUGGUACGGGACGGGCACGCGCGACAUUAGGUAGUUGGCGGGGUAACGGCCCACCAAGCCGACGAUGUCUAGGGGUUCUGAGAGGAAGGUCCCCCACACUGGAACUGAGACACGGUCCAGACUCCUACGGGAGGCAGCAGUGAGGAAUAUUGGUCAAUGGGCGAGAGCCUGAACCAGCCAAGUCGCGUGAGGGAAGAAUGGUCUAUGGCCUGUAAACCUCUUUUGUCAAGGAAGAAUAAGCGGCACGAGUGCCACCUUGCCAGUACUAGACGAAUAAGCAUCGGCUAACUCCGUGCCAGCAGCCGCGGUAAUACGGGGGAUGCGAGCGUUAUCCGGAUUUAUUGGGUUUAAAGGGCGCGUAGGCGGGACGUCAAGUCAGCGGUAAAAGACUGCAGCUAAACUGUAGCACGCCGUUGAAACUGUCGACCUGGAGACGAGACGAGGGAGGCGGAACAAGUGAAGUAGCGGUGAAAUGCAUAGAUAUCACUUGGAACCCCGAUAGCGAAGGCAGCUUCCCAGGCUCGAUCUGACGCUGAUGCGCGAGAGCGUGGGUAGCGAACAGGAUUAGAUACCCUGGUAGUCCACGCCGUAAACGAUGCUCACUGGAUCUUGGCGAUACACGGCCAGGGUUCAAGCGAAAGUAUUAAGUGAGCCACCUGGGGAGUACGUCGGCAACGAUGAAACUCAAAGGAAUUGACGGGGGCCCGCACAAGCGGAGGAACAUGUGGUUUAAUUCGAUGAUACGCGAGGAACCUUACCCGGGUUUAAAUGCAGGUUGCAUGAGGUGGAAACACCUCUUUCCCUCGGGACUACCUGCAAGGUGCUGCAUGGUUGUCGUCAGCUCGUGCCGUGAGGUGUCGGGUUAAGUCCCAUAACGAGCGCAACCCCUAUCGCCAGUUGCCAUCGGUUCAAGCCGGGCACUCUGUCGAGACUGCCACCGUAAGGUGCGAGGAAGGCGGGGAUGACGUCAAAUCAGCACGGCCCUUACACCCGGGGCGACACACGUGUUACAAUGGCCGGUACAGAGGGCAGCCACGGGGCGACCCGGAGCGAAUCUCUAAAGCCGGUCGUAGUUCGGACUGGAGUCUGCAACCCGACUCCACGAAGUUGGAUUCGCUAGUAAUCGCGCAUCAGC